Molecule: ribosomal RNA, 301 nt
Filed under: uncultured bacterium
Lineage: Bacteria
Description: partial 16S ribosomal RNA
Rfam family: Bacterial small subunit ribosomal RNA
Source: RNAcentral
CAGUCGCCACGGUAAUACGUAGGGUGCGAGCGUUAAUCGGAAUUACUGGGCGUAAAGCGUGCGCAGGCGGUUCGUUAAGACAGAUGUGAAAUCCCCGGGCUUAACCUGGGAACUGCAUUUGUGACUGGCGAGCUAGAGUAUGGCAGAGGGGGGUAGAACUCCACGUGUAGCAGUGAAAUGCGUAGAGAUGUGGAGGAAUACCGAUGGCGAAGGCAGCCCCCUGGGCCAAUACUGACGCUCAUGCACGAAAGCGUGGGGAGCAAACAGGAUUAGAUACCCCCGUAGUCCCUGUCUCUUAUAC